ACGCACGCUGGCGGCGCGCCUAACACCUGCCAGUCGAACGAGCGAGAGAGAGCUUGCUUUCUCGCGCGAGUGGCGAACGGGUGAGUAACGCGUGAGGAACCUGCCUCAAAGAGGGGGACAACAGUUGGAAACGACUGCUAAUACCGCAUAAGCCCACGACCCGGCAUCGGGUAGAGGGAAAAGGAGCAAUCCGCUUUGAGAUGGCCUCGCGUCCGAUUAGCUAGUUGGUGAGGUAACGGCCCACCAAGGCGACGAUCGGUAGCCGGACUGAGAGGUUGAACGGCCACAUUGGGACUGAGACACGGCCCAGACUCCUACGGGAGGCAGCAGUGGGGAAUAUUGCACAAUGGGGGAAACCCUGAUGCAGCGACGCCGCGUGGAGGAAGAAGGUCUUCGGAUUGUAAACUCCUGUUGUUGAGGAAGAUAAUGACGGUACUCAACAAGGAAGUGACGGCUAACUACGUG
RNAcentral lists this ribosomal RNA (465 nucleotides) under uncultured bacterium. Its description in RNAcentral is "partial 16S ribosomal RNA". It matches the Rfam family "Bacterial small subunit ribosomal RNA", at positions 29 to 507 of the family's 1533-position model. The record is from RNAcentral.